Long non-coding RNA from Brassica rapa (field mustard), 221 nucleotides. RefSeq lists it as uncharacterized. Lineage: Eukaryota; Viridiplantae; Streptophyta; Magnoliopsida; Brassicales; Brassicaceae. The record is from RefSeq and is a predicted model, not a curated record.
AGACGAUUACAGCUCUUGCGUUCGGAGCAAAGAAAACGACAAGGAUGUAAACCUGGAGGAGUCAAAUGCUGAUGAGUCGAAUGGCAUUGAGAAAAUGAUGGAUACAUUAAGGUAGCAUGCGUGAAAGCCUACGAUAACAAUUUCACAUCAUUAAUUUUGUGGUCAAGAACAUCUAUGUAAAGUAAUCAUCUUUAACAAUCUAUAUGUAUAUAACACAUUUU